This 522-nucleotide ribosomal RNA is filed under the name Staphylococcus sp. Its description in RNAcentral is "bacterial SSU rRNA". It matches the Rfam family "Bacterial small subunit ribosomal RNA", at positions 909 to 1430 of the family's 1533-position model. The record is from RNAcentral. Lineage: Bacteria; Bacillati; Bacillota; Bacilli; Caryophanales; Staphylococcaceae.
AUUGACGGGGACCCGCACAAGCGGUGGAGCAUGUGGUUUAAUUCGAAGCAACGCGAAGAACCUUACCAAAUCUUGACAUCCUUUGACCGCUCUAGAGAUAGAGUCUUCCCCUUCGGGGGACAAAGUGACAGGUGGUGCAUGGUUGUCGUCAGCUCGUGUCGUGAGAUGUUGGGUUAAGUCCCGCAACGAGCGCAACCCUUAAGCUUAGUUGCCAUCAUUAAGUUGGGCACUCUAAGUUGACUGCCGGUGACAAACCGGAGGAAGGUGGGGAUGACGUCAAAUCAUCAUGCCCCUUAUGAUUUGGGCUACACACGUGCUACAAUGGACAAUACAAAGGGCAGCUAAACCGCGAGGUCAAGCAAAUCCCAUAAAGUUGUUCUCAGUUCGGAUUGUAGUCUGCAACUCGACUACAUGAAGCUGGAAUCGCUAGUAAUCGUAGAUCAGCAUGCUACGGUGAAUACGUUCCCGGGUCUUGUACACACCGCCCGUCACACCACGAGAGUUUGUAACACCCGAAGCCGG